GUCUCUCCUGCCACCACUUUUCACCAUCUUCAGGGUUACAGCUCGCUCUCCCUCACUCUCAGUCUCCUGGUUCCAGGUGCUUCUCAGCACAGGGAUCCCAGGCCCUUCUCAGCGCAGGGAUCCCAGGCCCAAAGGAUGCUCUCUGCUCCUGGCUGUUCCUCUUUGGUGAUGGUAGGAUCCUCUCCCACCUCUGGGAUGGCUCACCUCAAGCCCAGUGGGAUGUCAAAAUUGGCCAGUCCCUUUAGUGGGCCAUGUCUUAGGCUGCAUUCUCUAGAGAAGCAAAACCAGUAAGGCAUAUAAAGACAGAGAUUUGUAUCAAGGAAAUGGCUCACGGUUGUGGAGGCUGGAACAUCCCAAGUCCGUGGGUCAGAACAGAAGCUUCUCCUGAUUCACGUAGCCACAGGGGCUGGCGAACCCAAGAUUGGCAGGUCAGAGAGCGGGGCUCUUGCUCACGGGCUGCGAAGAUUGAUGAAUCCCAAGAUUGGCAGGUAAGACUGCGGGUAAAGCUGCUAGCUUAAGAUCCAAGAACCGGAGUUCAGACAAACAGGAACCAGCUGCAGGAUGCAGCGUGAGGAAAAAGCCCAGGUGCCUUGCCAGAAUGUCCACUUAUAUUCGAUGGAGGCCACAUGCCCAAAGAAACUCCCUUUCAACAGAUCCCAUCAUGGAGGUGAUGACAACACCACAUGACUCCCAAACCACUGAGAAUCAUGGUCCAGCCAAGUUGACAUACAACCUUAACCAUCACAGGCCAUGGUUACCCUGUUUUCACAGUCCUGCCCAAUCACUUGGGUAGGAUUUAUAAGACCAUGGCUAGAAAGGCCAUACAGUGAUCCGUUGCACCACAGUCGGUAAAGAUGUGAAGCAACUGGAACUCAACCUGUUGGUGGGAAGGUAAAAUGGCACAACCACAUUGGAAAAGUUUGGCAGUUUCUUAAAAGAAAUAACCCAGCCAUGCCACUCUUAGGUAUUUUCCCAAGAAAACUGAACUGAAAGCAUGCUCACACAGAAUUGUACACAAGUGUUCAUAGCAGCUUUAUUCAUAAUUGCCAAAAAAAAAACCCCCAAAACUCAAACUUCCAUCAACAGGUGAAUGGAUAAACAAAUUGUGAUAUAUCCACACAAAGGAGUACUGCUGCUGCUGUUAGUUGCUGCUGUUAAUUCUGACUCAGGGCGAGUUCAUGUAUGCAGAGUAGAACUGCUCCAUAGGGUUUUCAAGGCCGUGACUUUUGGAAGCAGAUCACCAGACCUGUCUUCCACGGCGCCUCUGGGUAGGUUUGAACCAUCAACCUUUAGAAAACUAGUAGUUAAAUGCUUAACCCUUUACGCUACUCAGCAACAAAAUUAAAUGUUUGUUGAGAAUCAACCAAAAAUGUAUGUAUGCUGCAUUCCUUCACUAGGUGGCGACAAAGCCCAGUCAUUUCUAGGCCCAUCUGAUUCCCGCUUCUCCUUGCUGUGGCAGGCAGAAGCAAAAAACCAAACCAAACCCACUGGCAUCGAGUCGAUUCCGAUUUAUGGCUAAAAAAAAAAAAAUUUAAAGGAGAGUAGAACUGUCCCAUAGGGUUUCCAAAGAGCGCCUGAUGGGUUGGAACUGCCGACCUUUGCUGUUAGCAGCCAUAGCUCUUAACCACUACCCCACCAGGGUUUCUGUAGCAGGCAGAUGAGGACAUUAUCUCCAUUUAACAGGUGAGAAAACAGGCCUGGAGAGGGCAGGAAGCACCCCCAAGUUUGCCAGCUUGAUGGGAGACGGAAUCUUAUCCAUGCCUGCUAGGUUUCUGGUCUUCCAAAUCAACAACCCAGGUGACCCUCACAGGUCUCGCUUUUCCCCACACCUACUCUCCUAGCUUCCCCCUUUAGUCCAUACCAACUAACCUGGACCCUGCGUUUGGGAUCUACUUUACAGAUCAGGGAACUGAGGCUUGAGGGAGAGGCUUGCAGAGACUGGCGAGUGGUGGAGCUGCGGCUUGAAUCCAGGUGUGUCCUAGCCACUUAUUGGGACUAUCAGGCAGAUGAAAGCACAGUGAGCCUUUUGUACAGUGGUAGUAGAUAAAGGACAUGCCCAGGAUGUGCUUACAUUUUCAAGGCCUAGCCCCUUGACUUGGACAUCCUCGCCCAGGGAACUUUUACAUUGACCCCCUUGCCCAGUCCCGUUUUUGUGCUCAGAGGUAGAGGUGACUUCCGGCCUACUUGUCUGCCCCUUCCUGUCACCCACACUUUUCCAAUCCUGGCCAGCUUUGAACCUGCUCAACCCCAGUACCAUGUUGCCCCUGCUCUCACCCGUUUGCUCCCUAAUCCAGUCCUUGUGCUUCCAGGGAGACCUGAAAGAACAUGUGAGACCUUUCUCCCAAAGAUGCAUUUGACUCCUAUGCAGAACAGCACUUAAGUAUGUCCAGGGCCACGCAGUGCCUAGUUCAGCUUCCGUGAGCAGGACUGAGCUGCCCCACCCCCACACCAUGUCCAUAGCUUGCACAGGCUGGUAAGUUGAGGGUCAGUCUGUUGACCUCUGGCAAGUCCCUUUUUCUGUCUGGGCUGUUGCUUCAUCCCUGGGAACCCACACACUGAGAAACAGGGACAUGGUCCAGGGGUUGGAAACUGAGGCUGAAAUUCCAGCUCCAGCUGCUUUGGACAAGUGUCUCAGCCAGUGAGGACAUUCCACCUGCCACCCCGGGUCCCCUGAGAUGCAGGGCAGUCCUUCCCACAGCUGAAUGCUGCUGGUACCCUGGCAGAACUUUACUGAUCAACACCACAUGAACAAGGUGCAGUCUUGUCUGGUAAGGUAAAAUUAUGUCAACAAGGACAUCUCAGAGGGGGUACCAGAAAGCUAUUUUAUCCUCUACUGCAAUAAAAAGUUGAUGUCAAGUCCAUUGCGACUCAUAGCAAUCCUACAGGACAGGGUAGAACUGCUCCAUGGUUUUCAAAGAGCACCUGGUGGAUUCUAACUGCCAUCCUUUGACCUUUUGGUUAGCAGCCUCAGCCGUAUGUCUUAACCACUAUGCCAGUUGGGUUUCCUGUUCUCUACUGAAGCUUGUAACUGCUUUCAAAGCAUCAGUGAGGACGGUCCCCCUCCCUGAGCUGUUCCUCCCCAUGCAGGCCAGCCCAAUCCUCCGCUGUAACCUCCACUGCUACUUUGUAGAUUGCUUAGGGGGAGUUGCCAGUUUUUGACCCUGUCAGUGAGUACUUUGGGCGUGGUCACUCACCCAUUGAUUCCCCCCCCUUCUUUGCCAAGUCCCUAGCCUACUUGAAGACUCUUGGGAUCAGAGGUGCAGUGUACUUAUCCAACAGGUUAAACACGAAGGGCAAGCCCCACCCUACACAAAACACCUCAACUGCUCCCAUCUACUCAGGGAGAUGAGCCUUGGUCCAUACACAAAAGAACCACACCAAUGAAGAACUUGUCAACUUUUAUUUUCAGAAAAUCUUAGGUUUUUAAUGGUGAGGCUUCUGUAAGCAUUAGCUGCGUAUGAAUUCCUGAAAUUAAGAACAGGCAGUUACAUAGGUCACCAGGUAGCAUUUCAUAGCAACAAGCACAGGCUUCUGACAACAUGUCCAGUUCUAACUUACUUCGCUAUUUUCUUCCCCCAACCCAAGUCCAGAGCCCGACACCUAAGAGAACGAGUCAAGCAAAGACGCUGCAGGGAUUUGAACCCCGUCCUGGAAAACAGGAGUGCCAACCACCAGCAUCUUUUGCUUUUUUUUUUUUAAAGCUAGGAAAAGGCCAAAAAGCAAAACCUGAGAAAACAAAAGCUUUUGUUUUCUCAGGAAAAGAAAAACCUUUACAGCCCUACUGAAGAGCACGGAAGGAUCUGCUUCAACUAAGAUGCUAGCUUGGUCAAGUCUGCGUUAUUCACCUGAAAAAGUCUUAGCAGAGAAUUUUUGCAAUCCCACCCACCAACAGCCCUCAACAACUAGAAUGCCUGCUUUCUAUACUCCCUCCCCAACAUCAGGCUCUUGAAACACAUUACUUCUUUUACUACUUUAAAGUGGUUUUAGUUGCUGGCUAAAAGUGUUACAUAUGUAAACAUCUCAGGAUUAUUUAGCUGUGGUUUUAAUAACAACAUUCUGUUAAUUCACAGGCAAAUUAAUGGGCUCCUCUAGCAGUGCAACCCGCCAAAGACCUCGGCACCGUUGUUACCUUGAAACUGAUUAGGGGUCAUGCCCAUUAGGAUCCAAGCUACCAGCUGCAUCGAGGUGAGGGGUGAAGGGUCUGCGCUAGGCCAAAGGCAGGGAUGGCGAUGUGGCAGAGAAGUCACUUGAGGGGAGACCUUGCUUUUAACAGGCUUCUGGAAAAGCUAGGGAAAACUGGUUGCCCGCUUUCCCCCUUUCCCUCCCCUUCAAGCUGUUUGAGGUCUGGGCUUUUGUUAAGAGCUGCUAUGAAAACAGCUCAUUUAAAGGUUAAGACAGCCCAAGGAUGGAUUCACAAGGUCCUACUGGGGCAUUCAAAGGAAUGCUUCGUUCCGGAAAGUGCCUUGGUGCAGGUCUGCAGAGGCAAGUCCUCAUCGUUAACAGAGGAUCGGCUUAUGAAGCUGACACCAGUUUGUCGACCUUAGCGUUAACAGUGCUUUGUUGUCUCUCUUGCCACAGGAAGGCUGCGUGGUUGUCCUACUUUAAGCCUUCGGUGCCUUUAACUGAGGGGUACCUGGAAAAUCUUAAAAAAAAGGCUUAGCGCCCACCUCACCCCUCCACCCCCAUUGUCAACACACAACUUGCUCACGUGCUGUCAGCAUUAAGCUGAACAGUCUAAGGCUGGAAAUGGUUUACCCGUAACUGAUCUGACUUUGUAUGGAAAUAGAGAAAAAGCUUGUUCACCUGUUGUCCUCAUUUUGUCCACUGGUGAAUUCAACUGGACGCUGCUCAUAUUAAAGUCUGAAGGAUACCAUCUGAAAGAACUAGUAGUUCCCAAUCCCCACAUUGAACAUGGACUGUUUGGUUGGAUGCUUAAAUGUCUUAAAUAAAUGAGCUAUUUUUCCUUACUGGGUCUGGCUUCUCUGGCCCUUCGCAUUACCGUCUGCUGUUUGGAAUGUUCCUGCAUGUAAGAAUUAAGACCAAGGGAGGGGAGAGAGAAACCCACACAAAAAGACAAUACGCUAAGACCACUGAACUGUUAAAACGUUUCACUUGCCAGUUAAAUCUCUUGAAGAUUCGCUUGUUUGGGAUUUAUUUCUUGUCACUGUUUUUAAAGUUGCAUCUGGAAAAGACUAAAGGCUUCAGUGCCCCCCCACCCCCUACCAAAAGGGAACGAAAAGCAUUUUACCUAAGGAAGCACAGCAAAGGGUAAUUUUGUUUUCAAUCGCAAACACUGCUUAAAGCUGCAGAAAUUUCCUCAACACUCAGCCUUAUCACUCAGCUGGAUUUCCUUCCACAAUCACUACUCCAAGCAUGGGGGAAAACACAACUUUGACUCAUACUCCAGUCGUUUCACAACGCAUCCUAAUAGCAGCAGGUCAGAACAGUACUGCGGAUUACUUGCCAACAGAACACAGACCUGAAGUAAAGACAACUGCGUUCUCUGUGUACUCUGUAAAAAAAAAGCUAGAACAAGUGAGCCCCCCUCCCUCCCCCCCCUCCACAUUUAAGGGGAAAACUUUACUUGAGUGCGCUGAUAAACUCACUGCCAGGUCUCACACACACUAGAAGAGCAGAGCCAAGCACUUAGAGGCAAGUCAACAUUCUCAACAGUUUCCUGAGGGAUGGAAUGAAGCCUCUGCAAAGGAAACUUUAAAAACCCACAUGCCCCACAAAAGACUACAAAACGUCAACAGUGUGAACAUUGGCUAACGCUAGAUGAAAUGAUCAAAGCACUUAACAUGCAAACUUUGGAAACGCGGUUACUACUUUACUUUUUUAACCACUGUCAAUUUAUAGCCCUCUGACUUUCCAGAAACAAAAUGCGCAGUUACCUGUUUCUGAUUAUACCAUCUCCCACCUGUCUAAGAGGUACUUAGUCCUGAUUUAGAGGACCUCUACAUUGCCAUGUGCCUGGAAUUAUUAAAUGCUCAUCACUUUACGAAGGAGUUAAGUUUUGUCUUUCCUGCCUUAAAAAAGUUAAAUUCGUUCUUCUGCUCAAUUCCUGAUCUUGUCCGUUAAAGAGUGUUCGCAGACAAAGUUUCUGAAAGAUUAGAGAAGAAUCCCCCCAAGAUUGCCCAACACUAACUACAAACAUUUUAUUUAAAUAAGGAGACAGUUUCUAAAAGCAUACAUUCUCUAAUGAAAUGUUUUUAUUAUUUUGAACGAUUUAAUGGUUUUCUGCACAAAUACUAUAUACAAUGCAACACAUUUAAAUUUUAUCAAGAUUAACACAUCUGAUUCGUUGACACAGUAUGCUAUUUUUCAUAGUGAUUUUUGAUUCAAUUUAAGCAAAUUUCCUACCAUGUAAUUAAGGCCACUAACCUCUUAAGAGGCUCUGAAGAAUUACUUGCCUCUGAUGGACGUAUGCGAUCCCAUCAGCAUGGAAACUCAUAGGCUCAAGAUCUAAUAAAAAUCCCACAAUCCUGGAAUCCCCUAGGGAAGGGGUCAGGAAUCCUGAAGGCCUCCACAGCUCUUAAAUAAAAAUAGGCACUUGGCCUUAACAUGCAAUUCUGCAGAUUCGAGUUAAACUUAUCUGUUACAGCUGCCUGUUGUUUUCUGUUCCCAGAUGAAAUGAAGAAACUUCUGAUAAUUACGAAGAGAAACCUGUCUGAGGCAAAGGAAAGAUUGGCACACAGCACAGCCUCCUUCUCAAUCCACUUGAUCCCACUCAUCUCUGAAUUAUUUCAGCGUCUUUUAUUCCAAGAUUAAUGUGGAAAAAUCAUUUUCAUUUCGCUUCAAUUUUUAUUCUGCUUUUGUAAAAGCAGUAUUUUGAGAUGAACAUUAAUCUUCAUUGUAAGAUUUCUCAUCAAUUCACUUUUUUUUUGGGUGGGUUUAGCUCGAUAAGCCAACUGUAACUUUAAAAUGGCAGAUUCCGUAACUUUAAAUUGAUAGCUUUCAUUUGCUUAAUUUUUUGCAUAUGCAGACAAAUAGGUUCUCUGUGUUCAUCAGUGGUAAACAUCUGGUUAGGCUUUUUCCCCAAUGGAGUAGGACAUAAAAUCUUUUCUGCCUUUACUUAUCAUUCACCAAGGAGCUGUUCCCUCUCCAUCUAGGCCAUCAUAUUGCCAGGCUGGUUAUGACUCAGAAGAUGUUAUCUGAAAAAAGUCUACAGAAAAAAAAGGUUUCCCCUCCCUCAACAACAAAAGCCCACCCUCUGCAGACAUUCAAGCUGAACUAUCAGUUCUUAAAUUUACAAACAUUUCAGAUGCAAAUUUAAAACACAAUUUACAUUUUGAGGCAUACCUUAACAUCUUGUUUUGCAGCCAAAGGAAAAGCAAUUUUCCUACACUAAAAACCACAACUUGCUUACACACACAACUGAAAAUAGAAUCUUACUUGAUAAUAUAUAAUCUACCAUCAGAAGAAAUCCCUUCAGGAUCAUUAAGCCACUUCCUUUGCUCUGAAGUUCCUAGUAUUAAGUUAUAUUAAAUCACCUGAAAAAAAUUCCAAAAGAGAACCACACACUACCAUAUCCAAACAACUUUUUUUCCCCCCAAUGUUUUACCUAAUUAAGGUCAGCCCCGUAGGCCAGACCAACCCCCCCCGUCCAGCUCCUACACUGGGGGGGAACAGGGAACACUGCCAAGAAGCAUGGUACACCGAGAUGAAUGCACUGGUACACCCAGUGGUUCUUAACUUCCCCAAGCUGCCCAAUUCAAAAACUGAGAAAGCAAAACUAGAGCACUGGGAGUUACUUGCCAACUUGGAAGUAGGGAUUUCUUUAGUUUUUCCAUCCUAAGCAUAUUAGUUCUCUGGUAUGAGUUAUCUGAAAUCAUAAACAAUUACCUAAACCCAACCCUCCCAAUCCCAACCAUAACAGGCACUGCCAAGGACUACACGACAAAUUUCGUCCCUCCCCUUCAACGAAAGUGUUUUAAAAAUCGUAUUAUUUGAAAACUUAACUUCAACAUUUGGCCCUGUCAAGCUCUUCUGGUCUCCUGAGAUGACUGAAUAUGAACCAAAGCUGCACUGUGCUGUACUUUUCAGCUUCAACUGGGAAUACUCUUCCAAGGAAAAAAGCAGCUCCAAUCCUUGGAGAUGUUCGUGCCAACAGCAUAGCAGUACACUCCUUCUCUAACUCAGUUUGUCAAUAGUACUAUAGCAUCUGUGGAAAAUCUUAGAAGAAAACAUUUCCUCCCCCACCCCCUUCUCUUCCCUGUUAAUACCACCCCAAAAUACUUCAAGUAAAAACAAGUUUAAGGGAUUAAGUAAUUUUUAAAAAUUUUAACUACCAGCCGUUUCUCCAAGGGACAGCUCCUCCACAAACCUCAAAGUGAGAGCUACUGGUGCUCUAGUUUCUAGAACUGUUAAAUCUGGUGUUCUGAUUAUGCUGAUACUGGAUUUUCUUUUUUUCUGUGACCUUGAGUCAUUUGCCUUUGGAAUGUCUAGACCGACCUAAGAGGAAAAGAACUCAAAACAUAUUUGCCCCCCACACAAAAAUAACUCCCCCCGCCCACUGAGUUACACACCCAGACUCCCUAUUUCAAAAUUACAGGGUGAGAAAAGAGAAAAACAGGUCAUCUGUUCACAAAACUGAAAUCCAUCUGUAUCCCAAGCUAAAAACUGCUUACAAAUUUGUCUGCUGGUAUUUUCUCGUCUCAAGGAUGGUUCUAUCAAAUUCACUUGGUUUCCCUCAACUUGUUUAAAAAGCAACUUGCCAUCUACCAUUCCUCCGGGCCUUGGCAGUCUGCCCUCAAAAGCUUCAGACAAGAUGCGUGAGAACCCAAGCCUGAAAAAGAGAAACCUACGACACCCGGAAAUCGGCCUACACCCUCGUAAGACAUCCCUUUACCGACGUACACGCCCCGUUACCGUUAGGGAAGCAUUUAAUGGAGAUAGGUUACCAAACGUCGGUUACGGAGAAAACACGAACACAGAGCUGAGCCGGACUCGCCUUCACCGCUCACUCGCUCCCUUGCUCCCCGGCGCCCGCCGGUCUAGGCUCUGCUACCACCUAGGCGCCGCCGCCUCCAGGACGCCCGCCAGCUGCAGCCCAAGCGCAGCGGCCGCUCCCUCCUGGCUUCCUCGCCUAGCUUCACACCGGCGUGCGGCGCCUUCCUUCUUCCUAGCUCCUCCUCCUCCACACCGGCUCCCGGGCUGCUCCUUCCUACGCCUCUGCACCGCCGGCCGCUCUGGCCCGCUCCGACCGCACCGCUCCCGGCUCCUAGCCGCUCCCCGUCUUCCGCGCAGCCGCCGCCACUAACGCUAGUCCUCGGACGCCCGCCUCGGCUCAGUCCCAAGCAACAGCCGGCCGCACCUUCGUCUUCGUCUUGACCUGCUCCCAUUACCACAGUCCUUCCAGCGCUCUAGCGUCAGCUAAGCUCCCGAACUAAAGACCUUCCAAAUCCUCACUCUUCAGGAACAUUCUUAGCUUUCGGGUGUAUCUCAGGCCUUUCUGCCUCCCUUCUAGCUGCCGCAUCUUCUAAGUCGGUCCUGAUCUAUGGUGGUUUAAGCGCCCUCCUCUUCUCAAACCCUGAACUGCCUGCAUCACCAGAGAUUCGACAGAUGGGCUUUUAAAAGAGACUUAAAAAAACUCAUUUCCUCCUGCUCGUUUUUUCUCCCUUCGUGUAUUUUCUUCAACUUCUUGCCUUUCAAGUUUUCUAUCUUCUAUUUGUUCCUCGUCUAUCUUCUACGCUUCUGUCCAACAGCUGGCCUAACUUGUUUCUCUUCUCUAUCGGGAGUAUUUCUCGCCUUUUUUCUCACUUUCUAUCUUGAUCCUAUCUUCUAGUCUUCCACUGACUUCGUACUCUGCCCUGUUCGCUUGCUCCCUUGUCUCUUCCGCUUCCUACCCCUUGGGUUUAUUUCUCUUCUAAAGGCGUACUUUUAUCUUCCAGUUUUUCUAUCUUCCCUGUUUUUUCUUCACCUUCCUGUCUUCUGUGUUUUCCACUUCAAAUUUCUACUCCUUUCUCCAAAUUACUUUUAUCGAUUAGUCUUAUCUAGUUUUCAUUUUAGCCAAUACUGCCUGAAGAUUAUCUUAACUAGGCUUCCAACGACGCAAUCUUUUCUACGCCAUUAACCGGAAGGCCUACCAUCACCUUCAAUUUAAACUCUGCAAUGACUCCCCUUCGAGUUAUUCUGUUCACCUCCACCUGAACUAUUUUAACAUUUAGGUUCUAUUUAACUUGCUCUUUUUAACCUUAAGCUACAAGAUCGAUCUUUAAUUUAAGCUUUUCACGACUCUUAGCUACUUUUUGAAAAAAGAAACCUUAACUCCAUGAAGAAGCCUCAUCUCUCAGCUUGUCAUAUUUUGAGCGAUCUUUUUUCUUCUCCCUUUCUCAAACUAGUUUUUCUGUAAGUCUUCAUUAUUUAAGUAAGAUCUCUGUUAUCUAGUUAACUUACUAACAAUGCUACAGAGCUAUUUAAAUAGUUUUCGCUAGUUACAUUUCUUACAAGUUACACUAAUCCCUUCCUUCUCCUUUCUUAAAAACCUUCCCUGCGGAUUCCUCGGGCAGCUGCGUGCCCCACCUACAGCCCUGCGCUCGCUGCCCGAAUGCCUACCGCAGGGCCGAGGAGAGGCGUAUUUAUAGACGGAGACGCCUCACACCCUGCCGGAACUCAACAGCCCUCCGCCGCCUUUGUCGGGGAAGCAAAAAUAGUUCCUGGACAACCUUGAAAACCCAGUCAUGUCUUAGAGCCCUGCCUCAGCCUGGACAGCUCUCACACAGCCUGUGCAGCAUCCAGGUGCAGAAACCAAGCCUGGGCGGGCGGCUGGUGCUGGAAGCUUCCACCCCACGCUCUCCUCUACAGGAGUCAAAAGGAAUGUCGGUUGGUUCGACCUCCCUCACCAAGCCCAGUCAGAAUUCCAACAGAGGCAGCUCUAAAGACUGAAUGACGAGGACUCAGCCCUGGCCACAGCCUUCCUUUCUGGCCCGACUUGUGGCACCCACCAGCCCUCAGCUCCAGCUUUAGCGAUGUCAGGUGUCCUGGAGCCCUGCAGGUGCUUUCUCUGUGUCCUGUCUCUCCUCCCUGAAAAACUUCUAUUCAUGCUGAAAAACCCCCAUUUGUCCUGAAAAACCCGGCCUAAGUGUCACCCUGCUCCUGACUCCUCUAUGAAGCCUUUCUUCGGCUCUCCUCUCUCCUGAACACCAUGGCCCCCUCCUCAUCUGCCCCCCAAUGACAGCCCCCCAAUGCUUUGGGGCUCCCCCACCCUAUCUAAUCCUGCAACACUGGGAGCAUUACAGAAGGUGCAUCGUUACAGAGGGCCCACACGCUCCCUCCGAGCCAAGCUCCUUGACUUCAUGGCUGUGCACUGUGACCUUGGCAAGUUACUUAACCUCUCUGAACCUGUUUACUCCUCACUGAACUGGGACUGGUAGCUGUAGUACCCCCCUCAGGGUGGUGAGGGUGUCAGGAGCUUAGUACACUGCCUGGCUCAAACUAUGUGCCCUGUAAAUGGUGCUUGUCACUACCCUGUCUCUAGCUACCUUCACUUCCCCCUCCAGUCCUAAGCACUGGGUGGCACACAGCAGGCAACAGUAACAGGCCAUUGAACUGACUGCAACCGAAGGCAACCUCUCCAUGCCUGUCCCCCACCCAGCCUUCCAGAGCCAGGCAAGUCUCCAGAAGGGCUUAAACACUGGAAGUGACUUCACCCCUGCCUGGGCACAGGGAGAAGCAGAGAAGGUACAAAAAAAAAAAAAUCAGCCCAAUGACUGGGUGGAAUUUUCCAGUGCUCAUAAACAGAACCAGUCAGGGCUGCAAGGGAGGUCACCAUGGAAACGGUCACGUGUGCCAGCCUUCUGGUUAUUCCAACCUAGCUUCAGGAGGAUGACACAAGCUCCAGGCCUCUUCAUUGGCCACCAUCUUCCUCUUGCCACUGAUAUCUGGCAGAAGAUUGGCCGAGUGGAGUUGCUGGGCUGGAGUUAAACUGUCCUCUUCCCCAUCCUCCAGGGACCUGCUGAAAGCUGUUGUUUUGAACCUGAGGAAGAUGAAAAUAGGCUGCCAAAGAUGUUGUCAUAGCAACUGCCUUCCUUUCUGACCUCAGAAGACUUCUUUGGAAUUGAAGUACUUUUCCAAAGGCAGAAAGGGGCGUCAGCCAUUUCACACUAAACUUCUCCUUUUAAAGGUGAACUCCCUCCUUCUCCGGGGUAGUCAAGAAUUUCUGAGCCUCUACAUGGGGCCCACCAUGAGUUGGAAUCAACUCGAUGGCAACUAACAACAACCUACGGCUUUGGUCCGCCAUGUUAUCCCUGGGCGCCUGGGUUUCUUUCCGUGAAAUGGGACGUUCAUUCCAGAACUAUCUUCUAGGGCUUGGGUGAGAUUUCGACUGAACCAAGUUUGCAAAUGCCCGAUUUAAACUGUGAAACUCUGUGCACUUGCCACGUGUCUUUAAUUGGUCAGCAUUGAUACAGAUUAGGGUGGACUGGCUCUACGAGGUGAGGGGGUGGGGGGUUUUAGGGUUGUUCAGCGAAGUCCAGAGUCCUGGGACAGGGGAGACCCUUGGGAGUGUGAUUCUUGUUCUGUCACUAACUGUCUUCUGGGACUGUCGGCAGUUCACGUGGCCUCCCAGGGGGCUCAUUUUUCUCCUUCUAUAAAAGGAUUCCUCUUUAGAUACUCUCAGGGGGCCCAUUCCAGCUCUGAUAGUCCAUGAUCCUAAAUUAAAGGCCUGCCUGCUUUCCACGAUAAAUCUGUGGAACUCGUCAUUCCUACAGGUCAGGAUACAGGCAACUGCCGUAUACUGAGCAUUUUCUGUGUGGCAGGCACUACACAUACAUCAGCUCAAUCUCCACAACAAACUUAGGAACUGAGUAGUAUUAUUACCACACCAACCCAUUUUACAGAUGAAGAAACUGAGGCCCAGGGAUGUUUAUUUGCCCAAGGUCACACAGGCAGCAAGGAGCAAGGUCAAGAUUUAAAGCCUGCUGGUUUGAUAUGAAGUCCACACUUUUAACCACCAAGCUACCUUUCUAGGGACAAAGUGAAAUAAAUAUGAAGACAACAAUGGAUUGGGUUCCAAGCAGAUAAAACACUGGGUGGAAUGAACCCUGGACUAGGAAUCAAAGGUCCUGAUUCCUUCUGUAGUUUCUGCCAUUGAAUCACACUGUGUUACCUUGAACAAGUCACUUUUCCUCUCUUGGGCCCAGUGUCUCCAUCUGUAAAAAUAAGAGGUUAAGCCUGAUCUCUGUGAAGGCCUUUCUGGGUCAAAUACUCUGAUUCUCUGAGACAGAGAAACCAACCCAGAGGAGGCCAGUGACAGAUGUCUUGAGGCACAGAACAAACAAUACAGCCACAAAUAGCCUGCCCACUAGCUUCAAUCUCAACCUUUGGAAAAAACGAGGUUUAGGAAGAAGUGUGUAAGGCUGGGGCCCACAGAUCAGCACCAGUCCGUGCUACUGUCUGCUCUGCAGUAAGAAAAUGAUGCGGAACACACUGACCUCUCCAGAAAGCUAAAUGCAUUCCAUUUUAAGAGCGUCCUUUAUUCAGGGAUGAAGCCCUUCCAAUGUUUUUGAUGUUAAAAUGAGUUUUCUUAUGUAAUGGUGGUGAUGGUGGAUGGUAGUUAUUUUAUUUUAAUGUUCUUAUUUGGGAAAAGCUGGCUAACCAUAUGUCAAUACAUCGAAUUUUAAAAAAUGUUUUAUUAUGGGAAAUUUCAAACACAUACAAAAGCGGUAAGAAUAAUUUAAUGAAUCUCCAUGUUAUCUACCACCCAUUUUCAGUGCUUCUUAACCCCUGGCCAAUUCUGUUUCAUCUAAACUGCCAGUGCUCCCAAGCUCUGGCUUAUUUUGAAGUGAAUCCCAAAUAUCAUAUAGUUUUAUGGGUAAAAAAAAAAAUUUUGAAACAUAAUCACAUUAGCAUUUUCACAUCUAAAAAAAUUAAUAUUUCUUUAACAUCUUCAAAUAUACAGUUUGUCUCAAUAUAAAUGUAUAUUUUUUAUAGUUGGUUUGUUCAAAUCAGGAUCUAAACAGAGUUCGCACGUUUCCUCUGGUUGGUAUCUCCCUUCAGACUCUAUUGCCACCUAUAGAUUUCCCUUCCUGGCCUUUUUUCCUACGAUUUAUUUGCUGAAGAAUCUGACUCAUUUGCCCUUUGAAUUUUCCAGGAUCCGGAUUCUGCUGAUACAUCCCUGUGGUGUGGUGCCACAUACUCUCCUCUGCAUUUCCUGUAAACAGGUAAUUAGAUCUAGAGGCUUGAUCUGACUUGCGCUCCUUUUUUUCUUUACACUUCAUAGAUGGCGUUGAAACCAUCCAGUUAAAAAAAAAAAAAAGACUAGCUAAGUAAACCAAAAGCCCGGGACCCACAUUGCUCUGUAAGAAAUUCAGCCCUUCCAUCCCUCUUUGGUUCUAGGCCUCAUCCCUGGUCUAGCCAGGGCCUCAGAAAGCACCUUCCUUGGCACUUGCUCUCUGCCGCUGAGAUGCUCCGUGAGCAACCCCCUUAGGAAAGUGGCGAUCACAGCUGCCACACGCCUAUGUGAAGACCUACGUGAGAAAUGUACAUUAAAUGCCAGCCAAAGUAAUGAGAAAUGCUUUUUCCUCAUGGACAAAAUGAAUCAUGCAACUAAUUGUGUCCUUUGUCUUUAACUCCCAGGAAGCUCAAAGCCAUAAUUGAAGCACAACUUACAGCAGUGUUACAGGACUCUAUGGCUUUUUUCCUGGUCUUAACUUUGAAGCCUGCCUGACCUUUCCCUGGUCUGAUUUUCAUCUAUCUAACUGAAAGGUUGGAGGUUGGAGUUCACUCAGAGGUGCCGUGGAAGAAAGGCCUGACAACCUAUGUCUAAGAGAUCAGCCGUUGAAAACUGACACCUGGGGUCGCCGUGAGUCAGAAUCGACUUGACAGUAGGGUGUUUUUUUUUUUUAGUAUUAUCUGUAUGAAUCUCACUAUGUUUGCAAGGUGGCUCCAAUUCUUUGUGUAAAAGGUGGCUAUAAAAAGAUAAACUAAAAAUUUAGUAGCAAAAGUGGGAACUAUUUUUCCGGACUUCUAGCUCUGUCCCCACAAUUCUUUAUAUGAUCCUGGGACAAAACUUCAUUCAUUCAACAGACACCUUCCACGGGAGGCAGAGCUAAUGAAAAUAGGGCAGGGAGAAAGAUAAGGUACGUUUCUGCCUUCCCGGAGUUUAUAUCCUCGCGGAGGAAUCGGACAGCAAUUCCGGCGAAUAAGCAACACUGUACGUGUUCUAAAGAAAAUAAGGUGAUGGAAUAAAGAGAAACCAGAAGAUGAGGCUAGUUUUAGAUAGGGUGGACAAGGAGGGUGAGAUUUCAGUGGAGAACUGAGGAUGGAAAGGAACCAGCUGGGGGAUUUCUUACGGAGGGAGGAACAAGGGCAGAUGAUGUAUCAGUCACAAGGUGUCCCUCUGGGAGGUGGGCUGUUCCCCAGUGGGGAGGGAGUUUCCUUCUUGGACCCAUGGAACAGACCACCUGUCCUUGCCUUAUGAGUUUGAAUUAUGCAGCUGUUGUCAAGGCAUCCAGAUUCCAUCAACCAUCCUUGGUGAAACAAAUGCCCAUGUCCUUCCUUCUGACCCUUGGGCUGAGCCAUGUGCCAGGCCUGCAGAGCCAGGAGGCUCCUGGCUGAGGCCCAGCAAGGGCUCAGGAGGUGGCAGAAGCCCUGGCUCCCUGUACCACCCCUUCUAGAACUGCCCAUGAUGCCAGCUCUCAGGGCUGAGCCAUGGGGCAGGAGCCAGGUUUUACCUGGACCAUCCCAGCCCCAUGGGAGCCAACGUCUCCACUUGCCCCCAGAGAGCUGAGAUGAGAGCUGGGUUGGAUUUCAAAGCUCAGGAUUCAGCUUUCAUUGGGGGUUGGUACAUUACUCAGCAUUCUGAUGCCAGGCCCCGCCCUCUCCAGCUUUAUAGAAGUGGAGGUGGGAUUGGUGGUGACAGGGAAGCCCUGGGGGCUGCUAGGGCAAGGAAGAGGAGCCCAACCAAGCAGGCACACUAGGAGGGGCUUCCAGGCAAACAUGAUUCCCAAGCUCAGAGUGAUCCUAGAACAUCAACCAUGAGGCUGGGGGCUUGGUCUUGUCACGGCUAAAUCAUUAUCUAAAAUAGUGCCCAGUCUCUGCCACACAGUAGGUGCUGUUAAUGUCUGUUCAAUAAGGCAGGUAUAGGGGGAUGUCAGUUUAAGAGCUUUCUUAGUAGUUAUAGGUAGUGAGCUCCCUAUUAGUGGGAGGAACCAAGGAGCUGCUGGAUGGU
Molecule: long non-coding RNA, 16171 nt
Organism: Loxodonta africana (African savanna elephant)
Lineage: Eukaryota; Metazoa; Chordata; Mammalia; Proboscidea; Elephantidae
Exons: 2
Source: RefSeq, a predicted model, not a curated record